This 24-nucleotide non-coding RNA is filed under the name Arabidopsis thaliana (thale cress). Lineage: Eukaryota; Viridiplantae; Streptophyta; Magnoliopsida; Brassicales; Brassicaceae. The record is from RNAcentral.
CAAACCUGUCCCGCCAACCCGUCC